RNAcentral lists this ribosomal RNA (424 nucleotides) under uncultured bacterium. RNAcentral's name for it is "partial 16S ribosomal RNA". It matches the Rfam family "Bacterial small subunit ribosomal RNA", at positions 360 to 776 of the family's 1533-position model. The record is from RNAcentral.
AAUAUUGGACAAUGGGCGCAAGCCUGAUCCAGCCAUGCCGCGUGUGUGAAGAAGGCCUUCGGGUUUUAAAGCACUUUAAUUAGGGAGGAAGGGCCGUUAACGAAAACUUAACUGUUUUGACGUGACCACAAGAAUAGGCACCGGCUAACUUCGUGCCAGCAGCUGCGGUAAUACGAAGGGUGCAAGCGUUAAUCGGAAUUACUGGGCGUAAAGCGCGCGUAGGUGGUUCGUUACGUUGGAAGUGAAAGCCCCGGGCUCAACCUGGGAAUUGCUUUCAAAACGGGCGGGCUAGAGUACGGUAGAGGGUGGUGGAAUUUCCUGUGUAGCGGUGAAAUGCGUAGAUAUAGGAAGGAACAUCAGUGGCGAAGGCGACCACCUGGACUGAUACUGACACUGAGGUGCGAAAGCGUGGGGAGCAAACAGG